UCCCUAAUCCCUUCAGAUUGCAGAUGAAGAUGAAGGAGAGAAGAAAGUAAAGGAAGAAUCCUGUUCCAAGCCCUACAGUCAAUCAAGGGCCAGACCCUUUUGUCUUGAGUUUUAGUAAGCUCUGGUUUCAGUGGGUCUGUUGCUGAGUCCACCUAGGAUCCAUCACUCAGAUCCUCCAUUGACGGGGCUAAUGAUGCUGACCCACAUUGUGAGCUACCUGGAUUUCUUCUGCCUGUAAUUAGCAGCCAACACAGGAUGGUGAGAUGCAAGGAUUCAUCUUAACAAGUAUCCAGACUGUCCAUUGCAUGCUGAGGAUUCUGCCAGAAACACUGCAGAAAAUGAGAGGGACAGUGUCCCUGGGUACCACUUGCUUCAUGUAUUUUAAACACAAGGCUAUUUGCUAUCUAUAAAUUCUGAAAAACUGUUUUUUG
Long non-coding RNA from Mastomys coucha (southern multimammate mouse), 431 nucleotides. RefSeq lists it as uncharacterized. Lineage: Eukaryota; Metazoa; Chordata; Mammalia; Rodentia; Muridae. The record is from RefSeq and is a predicted model, not a curated record. The transcript is spliced from 2 exons.